This 563-nucleotide ribosomal RNA is filed under the name uncultured Glomeromycotina. RNAcentral describes it as "SSU rRNA". It matches the Rfam family "Eukaryotic small subunit ribosomal RNA", at positions 548 to 1114 of the family's 1831-position model. The record is from RNAcentral. Lineage: Eukaryota; Fungi; Glomeromycota.
UUGGAGGGCAAGUCUGGUGCCAGCAGCCGCGGUAAUUCCAGCUCCAAUAGCGUAUAUUAAAGUUGUUGCAGUUAAAAAGCUCGUAGUUGGACUUCAGGCCUGGCUGGACGGUCCGCCUUCCGGGCGAGUACUGUCUGUGGUCGGGUCCUACCUUCUGGCGAAGCGUCAUGGUCUUAACCGGCCGUGGCGGGGAACCAGGACUUUUACUGUGAAAAAAUUAGAGUGUUCAAAGCAGGCAAUUUGCUUGGAUACAUUAGCAUGGAAUAAUGGAAUAGGACAAUGGUUCUAUUUGUUGGUUUCUAGGACUGUUGUAAUGAUUAAUAGGGAUAGUUGGGGGCAUUAGUAUUCAAUUGUCAGAGGUGAAAUUCUUGGAUUUAUUGAAGACUAACUACUGCGAAAGCAUUUGCCAAGGAUGUUUUCAUUAAUCAAGAACGAAAGUUAGGGGAUCGAAGACGAUCAGAUACCGUCGUAGUCUUAACCAUAAACUAUGCCGACUAGGAAUCGGGCGAUGUUGAAAAAAUGACGCGCUCGGCACCUCAUGGGAAACCAAAGUGUUUGGGUUC